RNAcentral lists this ribosomal RNA (253 nucleotides) under uncultured bacterium. Its description in RNAcentral is "partial 16S ribosomal RNA". It matches the Rfam family "Bacterial small subunit ribosomal RNA", at positions 524 to 776 of the family's 1533-position model. The record is from RNAcentral.
UACGGAGGGUGCAAGCGUUGUCCGGAUUUAUUGGGUUUAAAGGGUGCGUAGGUGGCCCCUUAAGUCCGUGGUGAAAGCCUGCCGCUUAACGGCAGAACUGCCAUGGAUACUGAGGGACUUGAGUCCAGACGAGGUUGGCGGAAUGGAUGGUGUAGCGGUGAAAUGCAUAGAUACCAUCCAGAACCCCGAUUGCGUAGGCAGCUGACUAGGCUGGUACUGACACUGAGGCACGAAAGCGUGGGGAGCGAACAGG